UACGGAGGAUCCAAGCGUUAUCCGGAUUUAUUGGGUUUAAAGGGUGCGUAGGCGGCCUGUUAAGUCAGGGGUGAAAUUUUUCGGCUCAACCGGAAGCUUGCCUUUGAUACUGAUGGGCUUGAUUACACUUGAGGUAGGCGGAAUGUGACAAGUAGCGGUGAAAUGCAUAGAUAUGUCACAGAACACCAAUUGCGAAGGCAGCUUACUAAGGUGUUAAUGACGCUGAGGCACGAAAGCGUGGGGAUCAAACAGG
RNAcentral lists this ribosomal RNA (253 nucleotides) under uncultured bacterium. RNAcentral describes it as "partial 16S ribosomal RNA". It matches the Rfam family "Bacterial small subunit ribosomal RNA", at positions 524 to 776 of the family's 1533-position model. The record is from RNAcentral.